UGGACUUCCAACCAGCUAACCUGCCAUUGACAUCAUUAUCAAAGCGUUUACGAAAAAUUGAUGCUCUAGAACUCUACAAGGGUGUGAUGCCCCCACAGGAAGAAUGUGACAUUUGGAAUCUGCAACAUUCUCCCCAAGAAUACUUCAAUGUCCUCAAUCGAAAUUACAGUUUACUGCAGUAGUGGCAAGGGUUGGGCCUACAAGCGUCCUCCAAAUGGAUGGAUUGUAAGUUCCUCUUGAAAGAUUUUUGUUAAUAAUGAUUGUCACAAUUUGAUGUAGAGUGUAUGAGCAGAGCCUCUAAAAUUGACACUUUCAUGGAAUCCAACGGCAAUCGCGAUCUGUGCAAGGAAAGGGUCCAUUCAUGCCAGUAGCAUAUGCAUGUAGACUUUUAUUGAUCAGAGUCAUAAAAUGAAAAUAAGUUGCUCCAAUGUUCGUCUUCCAAGAGGAAAAAGUGAUGUUGUAAGAGUUGUGGAGAGAAGCAUGGGUAAUCGUGGGUGCGAUCCUGGCUCUAGCAGUUGAAGAACCUCUGUCGAUUCUAAUCUCUUCUAUAAGACAUCAUUUGGUAUUUUGUCACUCACACAUUGAAUAGAGUUGCUGGUCAACGGAAGAUACCUACAUCCGGUUUGAAAGUGUCUGCUGGGAGUAGCCAUCAUGGUGAGUUAUGCUAGGAAGUUUGCUUUUGAUAAGGUUGAAUACUAAUGUACCGCACCUGAAAGUUGCUGCCGUCAUUUUGUAUGAUAGUGCCUAGAAUACUAUUAGACCUUAGCAUUUAUCAUGGCUCGGCCACGUUCGAUCUAGUUCAAUACAAAUGCAUGUGAAGCAUUGUUCCAUAACAAGCUUUGCUACACUGUCCAUUGCCAAUGGGUUGAACACACUCUGAUUGCAUUGUCGUGGCAAGUUGUUGAUCAAUGGGAGAGCUAUUUUCUGAAAAAUUGGAAGUCAGUUGUUCUCCGGUGAAAGAGUUCCCUUAUGACCUCAACUUUUGGAGGGUCUUUCUUUUGCUGCCGGGUCAACCACAAAGCUUGUUUUCCAAGUGAUGCUUCCGAGCCAUCUCUCGCUUGACCGAACAGUAUAUCACUUAUUAUUAGAGUUUCACCUGGACAGAUUGAAGAUCGAAGUAGAAUACUUCUACACUUUUUUCAUCAUUUUUGUUCAUCAUUCUAUUGGCAAGUUGAAUUAGCAUUCUAAUCCCGAACCCGUCAACUAUCUGUGGACUACUCGGCUACUCUUGUGGCGAGAGUAGGUUGCCACAUGCCGAUUGGGGGACGGAUUAGGAACGGCUCCUUCGAGGGCCUUGCUCAGACAUCAAAUAGUCAACUAAGAGGAAUCCAACUACUUGAUUAAAACAAAGCAUUGCGAUGGUUCUUGCGGAUGCUCACGCAAUGUGAUUUCUACCUAGUGCUUUGAAUGUUAAAGUGAAGAAAUUCAAUCAAGCACGGUUAAACAGAGGAAGUAACUAUGACUCUCUUAAGGUAGCCAAAUGCCUCAUCAUCUAAUUAGUGAUGCGCAUGAAUGGACUAAUGAGAUUACCACUGUCCCUGUCUACUAUUCAGUGAAAUCAUAGCCAAGGGAAUGAGCUUGGCAAAAUCAACAUGGAAAGAAGACCCUAUUGAGCUUCACUCUAGUCCGACUUUGUGAAAUGACUUGAGAGUUGUAGGGGCAUCUAGAAAUGGCAAAAGUGAAAUACCACUACUUUUAAUGUUAUUUUACUUAUUCCAUGAACGGAAGCGGGGCAAUGCCCCUUCUUUUAGAUCUAAGGUCCGCGCAUGCAGACCAAUCCGAGUAAAAGACAUUAUCAAGUGGGGAGUUUGGCUAGAGUGGCACAUUUGUUAAAAAAUAUCGUAGGUGUCCUAAUAUAAGCUCAACAAGAACAGAAAUCUCGUGUAUAACAAAAUGGUAAAAGUUCGUUUGAUUCUAAUUUUUAGUACGAAUACGAACCGUAAAACCAUGGCCAAUCAAUCCUUUAGAUCUUCAGAAUUUGAAGCUAGAAGCAUCAAAAAGUUACCACAAGGAUAACUAGCUUGUGGUGGCCAAAUGUUCAUAGUGAUGUUGCUUUUUUAUCGUUCGAUGUUGGCUCUUCCUAUCAUUGUGAAGCAGAAUUCACCAAGUGUCGAAUUAUUCACCCACCAAUAAGGAACGUGAGCUGAGUUUAGACUAUCGUGAAACAAGCUAGUUUUAUCCAACUAAUGAUUGUGUCAC
This 2199-nucleotide ribosomal RNA is filed under the name Eucalyptus grandis. RNAcentral's name for it is "eukaryotic LSU rRNA". The stretch from base 1098 to 2199 matches the Rfam family "Eukaryotic large subunit ribosomal RNA", at positions 1891 to 3012 of the family's 3401-position model. The record is from RNAcentral. Lineage: Eukaryota; Viridiplantae; Streptophyta; Magnoliopsida; Myrtales; Myrtaceae.